RNAcentral lists this ribosomal RNA (324 nucleotides) under uncultured soil bacterium. RNAcentral's name for it is "bacterial SSU rRNA". It matches the Rfam family "Bacterial small subunit ribosomal RNA", at positions 26 to 353 of the family's 1533-position model. The record is from RNAcentral.
AGAUUGAACGCUGGCGGCAGGCCUAACACAUGCAAGUCGAGCGGUAGAGAGGUGCUUGCAUCUCUUGAGAGCGGCGGACGGGUGAGUAAUGCCUAGGAAUCUGCCUAGUGGUGGGGGAUAACGUUCGGAAACGGACGCUAAUACCGCAUACGUCCUACGGGAGAAAGCGGGGGACCUUCGGGCCUCGCGCCAUUAGAUGAGCCUAGGUCGGAUUAGCUAGUUGGUGAGGUAAUGGCUCACCAAGGCGACGAUCCGUAACUGGUCUGAGAGGAUGAUCAGUCACACUGGAACUGAGACACGGUCCAGACUCCUACGGGAGCAGCA